RNAcentral lists this ribosomal RNA (253 nucleotides) under uncultured bacterium. RNAcentral's name for it is "partial 16S ribosomal RNA". It matches the Rfam family "Bacterial small subunit ribosomal RNA", at positions 524 to 776 of the family's 1533-position model. The record is from RNAcentral.
UACAGGGGGUGCAAACGUUGCUCGGAAUUAUUGGGCGUAAAGCGCGCGUAGGCGGCUACUUAUGUCGGAUGUGAAAGCCCUUGGCUCAACUGAGGAAGUGCACCCGAAACUGAGUAGCUGGAGUACGAAAGAGGGUCGCGGAAUUCCCGGUGUAGAGGUGAAAUUCGUAGAUAUUGGGAGGAACAUCGGUGGCGAAGGCGACCAACUGGUUGGUGAUUGACGCUGAGGCGCGAAAGCGUGGGGAGCAAACAGG